Molecule: ribosomal RNA, 441 nt
Filed under: uncultured bacterium
Lineage: Bacteria
Description: partial 16S ribosomal RNA
Rfam family: Bacterial small subunit ribosomal RNA
Source: RNAcentral
CCUACGGGAGGCAGCAGUGGGGGAUAUUGCACAAUGGGGGGAACCCUGAUGCAGCGACGCCGCGUGGGUGAAGGAGCGUUUCGGCGCGUAAAGCCCUAUCGGCAGGGAAGAAGAAGGACGGUACCUGACUAAGAAGCCCCGGCUAACUACGUGCCAGCAGCCGCGGUAAGACGUAGGGGGCAAGCGUUAUCCGGAUUUACUGGGGGUAAAGGGGGCGCAGACGGGAGCGCAAGCCCGGAGUGAAAGCCCCGGGCCCAACCCCGGGACGGCGCUUGGAACUGCGCGGCUGGAGUGCAGGAGGGGCGAGCGGAAUUCCUGGUGUAGCGGUGAAAUGCGUAGAUAUAAGGAGGAACACCGGUGGCGAAGGCGGCCUGCUGGUCUGCGACUGACGUUGAGGCCCGAAAGCGUGGGGAGCAAACAGGAUUAGAUACCCUAGUAGUC